GAUGAACGCUAGCUACAGGCUUAACACAUGCAAGUCGAGGGGAAACGACAUCGAAAGCUUGCUUUUGAUGGGCGUCGACCGGCGCACGGGUGAGUAACGCGUAUCCAACCUGCCCACCACUUGGGGAUAACCUUGCGAAAGUAAGACUAAUACCCAAUGAUAUCCCACGAAGACAUCUGAAUGGGAUUAAAGAUUUAUCGGUGAUGGAUGGGGAUGCGUCUGAUUAGCUUGUUGGCGGGGUAACGGCCCACCAAGGCAACGAUCAGUAGGGGUUCUGAGAGGAAGGUCCCCCACAUUGGAACUGAGACACGGUCCAAACUCCUACGGGAGGCAGCAGUGAGGAAUAUUGGUCAAUGGGCGAGAGCCUGAACCAGCCAAGUAGCGUGCAGGAAGACGGCCCUAUGGGUUGUAAACUGCUUUUAUAAGGGAAUAAAGUGGGUCACAUGUGACUUUUUGCAUGUACCUUAUGAAUAAGGACCGGCUAAUUCCGUG
Molecule: ribosomal RNA, 492 nt
Filed under: uncultured bacterium
Lineage: Bacteria
Description: partial 16S ribosomal RNA
Rfam family: Bacterial small subunit ribosomal RNA
Source: RNAcentral